UACGUAGGGUGCAAGCGUUGUCCGGAAUUAUUGGGCGUAAAGAGCUCGUAGGCGGUUUGUCGCGUCUGCUGUGAAAACCCGAGGCUCAACCUCGGGCCUGCAGUGGGUACGGGCAGACUAGAGUGCGGUAGGGGAGAUCGGAAUUCCUGGUGUAGCGGUGAAAUGCGCAGAUAUCAGGAGGAACACCGGUGGCGAAGGCGGAUCUCUGGGCCUUACCUGACGCUCAGGUGCGAAAGCUAGGGGAGCGAACAGG
This 253-nucleotide ribosomal RNA is filed under the name uncultured bacterium. Its description in RNAcentral is "partial 16S ribosomal RNA". It matches the Rfam family "Bacterial small subunit ribosomal RNA", at positions 524 to 776 of the family's 1533-position model. The record is from RNAcentral.